RNAcentral lists this unclassified non-coding RNA (234 nucleotides) under uncultured Bacteroidia bacterium. Its description in RNAcentral is "contains 16S-23S intergenic spacer region". Lineage: Bacteria; Pseudomonadati; Bacteroidota; Bacteroidia. The record is from RNAcentral.
UCGCGGCUUAUCACCGGCAGUCCCCUUAGAGUGCCCAACUGAAUGAUGGCAACUAAGGGCGAGGGUUGCGCUCGUUGCGGGACUUAACCCAACAUCUCACGGCACGAGCUGACGACAGCCAUGCAGCACCUUAUUCCGCGUCCAUUGCUGGAAGGGUAGCUUUCACCACCUGUCGCGGAACAUUCUAGCCCAGGUAAGGUUCCUCGCGUAUCAUCGAAUUAAACCACAUGCUCC